This 253-nucleotide ribosomal RNA is filed under the name uncultured bacterium. RNAcentral's name for it is "partial 16S ribosomal RNA". It matches the Rfam family "Bacterial small subunit ribosomal RNA", at positions 524 to 776 of the family's 1533-position model. The record is from RNAcentral.
UACGAAGGGGGCUAGCGUUGUUCGGAAUCACUGGGCGUAAAGGGCGCGUAGGCGGCUAUUCAAGUCGGGGGUGAAAGCCUGUGGCUCAACCACAGAAUUGCCUUCGAUACUGUUUGGCUUGAGACCGGAAGAGGACAGCGGAACUGCGAGUGUAGAGGUGAAAUUCGUAGAUAUUCGCAAGAACACCAGUGGCGAAGGCGGCUCACUGGCCCGAUACUGACGCUGAGGCACGAAAGCGUGGGGAGCAAACAGG